GCGACGCCGCGUGAGGGAUGACGGCCUUCGGGUUGUAAACCUCUUUCAGUAGGGAAGAAGCGUAAGUGACGGUACCUGCAGAAGAAGCGCCGGCUAACUACGUGCCAGCAGCCGCGGUAAUACGUAGGGCGCAAGCGUUAUCCGGAAUUAUUGGGCGUAAAGAGCUCGUAGGCGGUUUGUCGCGUCUGCCGUGAAAGUCCGGGGCUCAACUCCGGAUCUGCGGUGGGUACGGGCAGACUAGAGUGAUGUAGGGGAGACUGGAAUUCCUGGUGUAGCGGUGAAAUGCGCAGAUAUCAGGAGGAACACCGAUGGCGAAGGCAGGUCUCUGGGCAUUAACUGACGCUGAGGAGCGAAAGCAUGGGGAGCGAACAGGAUUAGAUACCCUGGUAGUCCAUGCCGUAAACGUUGGGCACUAGGUGUGGGGGACAUUCCACGUUUUCCGCGCCGUAGCUAACGCAUUAAGUGCCCCGCCUGGGGAGUACGGCCGCAAGGCUAAAACUCAAAGGAAUUGACGGGGGCCCGCACAAGCGGCGGAGCAUGCGGAUUAAUUCGAUGCAACGCGAAGAACCUUACCAAGGCUUGACAUGAACCGGAAACGCCUGGAAACAGGUGCCCCACUUG
This 621-nucleotide ribosomal RNA is filed under the name Arthrobacter sp. Se2Ps_2475. RNAcentral describes it as "bacterial SSU rRNA". It matches the Rfam family "Bacterial small subunit ribosomal RNA", at positions 391 to 1021 of the family's 1533-position model. Lineage: Bacteria; Bacillati; Actinomycetota; Actinomycetes; Micrococcales; Micrococcaceae. The record is from RNAcentral.